AGAGUUUGAUCCUGGCUCAGAUUGAACGCUGGCGGCAUGCCUUACACAUGCAAGUCGAACGGCAGCACGGGAGUAAUCCUGGUGGCGAGUGGCGAACGGGUGAGUAACAUAUCGGAACGUGCCCAGUCGUGGGGGAUAACGCAGCGAAAGCUGUGCUAAUACCGCAUACGAUCUCUGGAUGAAAGCGGGGGACUCUGCAAAGAGCCUCGCGCGAUUGGAGCGGCCGAUAUCAGAUUAGCUAGUUGGUGGGGUAAAAGCCCACCAAGGCGACGAUCUGUAGCUGGUCUGAGAGGACGACCAGCCACACUGGAACUGAGACACGGUCCAGACUCCUACGGGAGGCAGCAGUGGGGAAUUUUGGACAAUGGGCGAAAGCCUGAUCCAGCAAUGCCGCGUGCAGGAUGAAGGCCUUCGGGUUGUAAACUGCUUUUGUACGGAACGAAACGGUUCACUCUAAUACGGUGGGCUGAUGACGGUACCGUAAGAAUAAGCACCGGC
This 498-nucleotide ribosomal RNA is filed under the name uncultured bacterium. RNAcentral's name for it is "bacterial SSU rRNA". It matches the Rfam family "Bacterial small subunit ribosomal RNA", at positions 8 to 497 of the family's 1533-position model. The record is from RNAcentral.